CUGGCUCAGGACGAACGCUGGCGGCGUGCUUAACACAUGCAAGUCGAACGAGACGAUUGAAAGCUUGCUUUUGAGAGUCGAGUGGCAAACGGGUGAGUAACGCGUAGACAACCUGCCGCAAAGAUGGGGACAACAGUCCGAAAGGACUGCUAAUACCGAAUGUUGUAUCGUUUCCGCAUGGAGAUGAUAUUAAAGAUGGCCUCUACUUGUAAGCUAUCG
This 219-nucleotide ribosomal RNA is filed under the name Pseudoselenomonas ruminantium. Its description in RNAcentral is "Selenomonas ruminantium 16S rRNA. Bacterial SSU". It matches the Rfam family "Bacterial small subunit ribosomal RNA", at positions 19 to 217 of the family's 1533-position model. Lineage: Bacteria; Bacillati; Bacillota; Negativicutes; Selenomonadales; Selenomonadaceae. The record is from RNAcentral.